Long non-coding RNA from Zingiber officinale, 766 nucleotides. RefSeq lists it as uncharacterized. The record is from RefSeq and is a predicted model, not a curated record. Lineage: Eukaryota; Viridiplantae; Streptophyta; Magnoliopsida; Zingiberales; Zingiberaceae. The transcript has 3 exons.
GGGCCCGGGAAAGCCUGUUUAGGCUACCCCAUUUAGGCGAGGAAAAGUUAUUUAUUUUCUUUUCCUUUUUAUUUGUUUUUCUUUUCUCUUUUAUUCCUCUCCCCGACGCCGUUCAUUUCUUCUCCCCCGACGCCGAGCCGCACCCUCUCCUUGCCCUAACCGCCGGCCGCGGUGCUUUUCUCCUCUUCUCCCCUCUCCUUCGCCGAAGCCAGGCCGCCGACGACGAGAGCCACCCUAGCCGCCAGCCACCGAGACCCUCCUCUUCCUAUCCUCUAGCCGAAGCGACACCACUGUUCUUCUUCUUCUUCUCUACCUAGCACCGGCCGUGAUUUUUCUCUGCCGAUGAUGCCACCCGAGCCUUCCCGGCGAAGUUGCCACAGCCGACGGCGAGCCCUAGUUCUUCACCGUGCCUUAGUCCUCACCACCGGAUCUUAUUUUUUUCGCCAUCAGAAGCCGGCAGAGACGAAGAAGUGUAUCAAGAUGCGACAUUAGGUUGUUGAAGUAAAUUGGUUGUGGAAUUUUCUUCCGGCAGCAACCAUCUGUGGUUGAGAAUUGAACAGAGGAAGAAUUCCAAGAGGUGAGGUUCUGUGCACUGGGGUAUUCGGGUGGUGGACAACAUGUUUGAACAGGGCAGAGAGGUAAAUUCCAGUAGGGUUUCUUUGCCGGCAGCACUUCAACCAGUAACCCUAUUGGCUGUGAACUUGAGGACCUGGUCGCGAGACGAGUAUCUCGAUAUCGGAUUGGACCUUUCUAUUUUCGGAGGCGG